Molecule: unclassified non-coding RNA, 253 nt
Filed under: uncultured Flavobacteriaceae bacterium
Lineage: Bacteria; Pseudomonadati; Bacteroidota; Flavobacteriia; Flavobacteriales; Flavobacteriaceae
Description: contains 16S-23S intergenic spacer region
Rfam family: Bacterial small subunit ribosomal RNA
Source: RNAcentral
UACGGAGGGGGUUAGCGUUAUCCGGAAUCAUUGGGUUUAAAGGGUCCGUAGGCGGGCAGUUAAGUCAGUGGUGAAAGUCUUCCGCUCAACGGGAGAACUGCCAUUGAUACUGAUUGUCUUGAGUUAUUAUGAAGUGGUUAGAAUAUGUAGUGUAGCGGUGAAAUGCAUAGAUAUUACAUAGAACACCGAUUGCGAAGGCAGAUCACUAACAAUAUACUGACGCUGAUGGACGAAAGCGUAGGUAGCGAACAGG